GGAAGGAUCAUUAACACGUUUCCACGUACCCACCCACUGUGCACUGCGCGUGCGGCUUGCGACUUGCUCGCUCGCUCGCACGCGACACAGAUGUCGAGCGCGCGUGCGCCCGCAUGCUCGCGAUCGAUCGACGACACACACCGCCUCGUGCGGCGUGCUGGAGGCGAUCGCUCUCGUGCUCGCUCGCUCGCUCGCUCGCGUCUGCUCCUACACGUACUCCCCCUCGAUACCUUAUCAGUUGUUGUGGAGGCCGCUCUCGGGCGCCUUCGAAUGUUUAUUUCAACCACAUACAACUCUUAGCAAUGGAUAUCUUGGCUCUCGCACCGAUGAAGAACGCAGCGAAAUGCGAUACGUAAUGCGAAUUGCAGAAUUCAGUGAAUCAUCCAAUCUUUGAACGCAAAUGGCGCUCUCGGGUCAGCCCCGGGAGCACGCCUCUCUCAGUAUCGGUUCACCAACCUACCCAUCAGCCGCUGCUGCGCUGCACGAGCUCGCUCGUGUGUGCACGCGCGCUGGACAAUGAGAGUCGGGCAGCGUGCAGCUGCUCGUCUCUUCAAGUGCAGUGAGGCGGUGCUUCGCUCACGCUCAGUGACCAAGUCGUUUUCGUGACGGUGUGUUUUCCCCGUCCACUCCUCUCUCCCUCCUGUCCCUGCGCUCUCGACGCUGUCGAGGUGCGUCAGCUGGCGGCGACGUGAAUAACGCAGUGACGUCUCGACGCCACACCGCGCUUUCCGUCUCACCUGCCUGCACGACCACCUCACCAGCGCAGCGACGAGCGCGCACGGACGAAACGCGGAUCGAGAUGCGGCGUGUGAAGAUGAGCAAUCGCUGAGUGGAAGUGCCACCAAGCAAAACAACGACGCGCAUCGCUUGCGGCAGUCCUCGCGACUGUCGACAGCGAGCGCGUCUCCGAUCAUGAUCUGAGAUGAAGCGAGAGGACCCCCUGAAUUUAAGCAUAUUAAUAAGGGGAGGAAAAGAAACUAACAAGGAUUCCCUCAGUAACGGCGAGUGAAGCGGGAGCAGCUCAAUGUGAGAAUCGGUGUUCGUUCGACUGCAACACCGAAUUGUAGUCUCUAGACGCGUUGUCAGCGUGCGAGUCGGGUCCAAGUCUUUUGGAACGAGGCAUCAUAGAGGGUGAGAAUCCCGUCUCUGAUCCGACGAGAGUCGCCGCGUACGAUGCGCGUUCUUCGAGUCGAGUUGUUUGGGUUGCAGCUCUAAGCAGGUGGUAAGUUUCAUCCAAAGCUAAAUACACGCGAGAGACCGAUAGCGAACAAGUACCGUGAGGGAAAGAUGAAAAGAACUUUGAAAAGAGAGUGAAAGAGUACUUGAAAUUGCUAAGAGGGAAGCGCUGAGUCGGAGCACCGCUCGGUCGACAUCUUCGCUCGUGUGCCGGUGCGAGUCGCGUGCGCAGGGUGGGCAACUCCCUGUGCGCGCGUCGUCGCGCUGGUCGCGGGUCCAGUGUCGAGCGACAGUUCCGGAUCCAAUCGAUUGGGCACAGAAGUGCGCGAGAAAGGUAGGACUCCCUCUCGGGGGAGUCUGUUACAGUCUCGUGUGACGAUGCCCGAUUGGCUGGAGGAAGUCAUAGUGCGCCGCUUGCGGCUUCACUCGCGGUCGUCUGGUGCUUGGCGCGCGGCGGCAGAGCAAUGCUCUGCUCUGCGCGACGGGCGCUACUGCGGCUGCGGGUGGAUGUGCUAUCGCGAUCCGGGAGCAAUCCGCCUCAUCGACCCGUCUUGAAACACGGACCAAGGAGUCUAACAUCUAUGCGAGUAGUUGGGUGGCAAACCCGCGUGCGCAAUGAAAGUAAAGGCAGCUUCGGCUGCUGAGGUAGGAAUCGGGCAACCGAGGCACUAUCGACCGAUCAUCACUUGUGAGAGAUUUGAGUGCGAGCAUAGCUGUUGGGACCCGAAAGAUGGUGAUCUAUGCCUGAACAGGGUGAAGCCAGGGGAAACUCUGGUGGAGGCUCGUAGCGAUACUGACGUGCAAAUCGUUCGUCUGAUUUGGGUAUAGGGGCGAAAGACUAAUCGAACCAUCUAGUAGCUGGUUCCCUC
This 2045-nucleotide unclassified non-coding RNA is filed under the name uncultured fungus. RNAcentral describes it as "sequence contains 18S rRNA gene, ITS1, 5.8S rRNA gene, ITS2, 28S rRNA gene". The stretch from base 914 to 2045 matches the Rfam family "Eukaryotic large subunit ribosomal RNA", at positions 1 to 961 of the family's 3401-position model. Lineage: Eukaryota; Fungi. The record is from RNAcentral.